This 505-nucleotide ribosomal RNA is filed under the name uncultured bacterium. RNAcentral describes it as "SSU rRNA". It matches the Rfam family "Bacterial small subunit ribosomal RNA", at positions 26 to 523 of the family's 1533-position model. The record is from RNAcentral.
AGAUUGAACGCUGGCGGCGUGCCUAACACAUGCAAGUCGAGCGGUAACAGGUGUAGCAAUACAUGCUGACGAGCGGCGAACGGGUGAGUAAUGCUUUGGAAUCUUCCCAGUAGUGGGGAAUAACCAGUCGAAAGAUUGGCUAAUACCGCAUACGUCUGUAAAGGGAAAGCGGGGGCUCGUAAGACCUCGCGCUAUUGGAUGAGCCAAAGUCGGAUUAGCUAGUUGGUGGGGUAAUAGCCUACCAAGGCGACAAUCCGUAGCUGGUCUGAGAGGACGACCAGCCACACCGGAACUGAGACACGGUCCGGACUCCUACGGGAGGCAGCAGUGGGGAAUAUUGGACAAUGGGGGAAACCCUGAUCCAGCGACGCCGCGUGUGUGAAGAAGGCCUGCGGGUUGUAAAGCACUUUUUAGUGGGGACAAAAAAGCUACGGAUUAAUACUCUGUGGUCUUGAUUUAACCCAAAGAAAAGCACCGGCUAACUCUGCGCCAGCAGCCGCGGUAA